GAGGGUAUAGCUCAAGUGGUAGAGCACGUGCUUAGCAUGCACAGCGUCCUGGGUUCAAUCCCUGGUACCUCCU
This is a transfer RNA of Camelus ferus (Wild Bactrian camel), 73 nucleotides long. It matches the Rfam family "tRNA". From Rfam's summary of the family: Transfer RNA (tRNA) molecules are approximately 80 nucleotides in length. Their secondary structure includes four short double-helical elements and three loops (D, anti-codon, and T loops). The record is from Rfam. Lineage: Eukaryota; Metazoa; Chordata; Mammalia; Artiodactyla; Camelidae.